Molecule: ribosomal RNA, 670 nt
Filed under: Pseudomonas sp.
Lineage: Bacteria; Pseudomonadati; Pseudomonadota; Gammaproteobacteria; Pseudomonadales; Pseudomonadaceae
Description: bacterial SSU rRNA
Rfam family: Bacterial small subunit ribosomal RNA
Source: RNAcentral
GGNCUACCAUGCAGUCGAGCGGAUGACGGGAGCUUGCUCCUUGAUUCAGCGGCGGACGGGUGAGUAAUGCCUAGGAAUCUGCCUGGUAGUGGGGGACAACGUUUCGAAAGGAACGCUAAUACCGCAUACGUCCUACGGGAGAAAGCAGGGGACCUUCGGGCCUUGCGCUAUCAGAUGAGCCUAGGUCGGAUUAGCUAGUUGGUGGGGUAAUGGCUCACCAAGGCGACGAUCCGUAACUGGUCUGAGAGGAUGAUCAGUCACACUGGAACUGAGACACGGUCCAGACUCCUACGGGAGGCAGCAGUGGGGAAUAUUGGACAAUGGGCGAAAGCCUGAUCCAGCCAUGCCGCGUGUGUGAAGAAGGUCUUCGGAUUGUAAAGCACUUUAAGUUGGGAGGAAGGGCAGUAAGCUAAUACCUUGCUGUUUUGACGUUACCGACAGAAUAAGCACCGGCUAACUCUGUGCCAGCAGCCGCGGUAAUACAGAGGGUGCAAGCGUUAAUCGGAAUUACUGGGCGUAAAGCGCGCGUAGGUGGUUUGUUAAGUUGGAUGUGAAAGCCCCGGGCUCAACCUGGGAACUGCAUCCAAAACUGGCAAGCUAGAGUACGGUAGAGGGUGGUGGAAUUUCCUGUGUAGCGGUGANAUGCGUAGAUAUGGGAAAGAACACCAGU